This 244-nucleotide ribosomal RNA is filed under the name uncultured bacterium. RNAcentral's name for it is "partial 16S ribosomal RNA". It matches the Rfam family "Bacterial small subunit ribosomal RNA", at positions 89 to 334 of the family's 1533-position model. The record is from RNAcentral.
UGGCGACCGGCGCACGGGUGAGUAACACGUAUCCAACCUGCCGAUGACUCGGGGAUAGCCUUUCGAAAGAAAGAUUAAUACCCGAUGGCAUAGUUCUUCCGCAUGGUAGAACUAUUAAAGAAUUUCGGUCAUCGAUGGGGAUGCGUUCCAUUAGGUUGUUGGCGGGGUAACGGCCCACCAAGGCAACGAUGGGUAGCCGGUCUGAGAGGAUGACCGGCCACACUGGAACUGGAACACGGUCCAG